GUCUACGGCCAUACCACCCUGAACAAGCCCAAUGUCUGAUCUCGGAAGCUAAGCAGGGUUGGGCCUGGUUAGCACUUGGAUGGAAGACCAGCUGCUGAAGGCA
RNAcentral lists this ribosomal RNA (103 nucleotides) under Pteropus alecto (black flying fox). Lineage: Eukaryota; Metazoa; Chordata; Mammalia; Chiroptera; Pteropodidae. The record is from RNAcentral.